GGGCUUGUGGUUUAGCUGGUUAUGACGCCGCCCUUACACGGCGGAGAUCCCCGGUUCGAAUCCGGGCAGGCCCA
Molecule: transfer RNA, 74 nt
Filed under: Methanoculleus sp.
Lineage: Archaea; Methanobacteriati; Methanobacteriota; Methanomicrobia; Methanomicrobiales; Methanomicrobiaceae
Also listed under: 1 other name
Description: tRNA-Val
Rfam family: tRNA
About the family: Transfer RNA (tRNA) molecules are approximately 80 nucleotides in length. Their secondary structure includes four short double-helical elements and three loops (D, anti-codon, and T loops).
Source: RNAcentral